CCCUACGGGGUGCAGCAGGCGCGAAACCUUUACAAUGCACGAAAGUGUGAUAAGGGGAUCCUACGUGCUCAUACAUAGUAUGGGCUUUUGCCAAGCGUAAAGAGCUUGGAGAAUAAGAGCUGGGUAAGACUGGUGCCAGCCGCCGCGGUAACACCAGCGGCUCGAGUGGCAAUCGGCAUUAUUGGGCCUAAAGCGUCCGUAGCUGGAUCUGUACAUCCCUUGUGAAAUCACGGAGCUUAACUCCACGGCAUGCAGGGGACACGGCAGAUCUUGGGAACGGGAGGAGCAAGAGGUAUUCGAAGGGGACCGGUAAAAUGGUAUAAUCCUUCGAAGACCACCGAUGGCGAAGGCAUCUUGCUAGAACGUGUCCGACAGUGAGGGACGAAAGCCAGGGGAGCGAACCGGAUUAGAUACCCGAGUAGUCCUGGCCGUAAACGCUGCGAGCUAGGCGUUGCGCUACCUACGUGGUUGCGCAGUGUCGAAGAGAAGUCGUUAAGCUCGCCGCCUGGGGAGUACGGUCGCAAGGCUGAAACUUAAAGGAAUUGGCGGGGGCGCACCACAAGGGGUGCGGCGUGCGGUUUAAUCGAAUUCAACACCGAGAAUCUCACUAGGGGCGACGGCACUAUGAUGGUCAGUCUGAAGGGCUUACCGGAGGAGCCGAGAGGAGGUGCAUGGCC
RNAcentral lists this ribosomal RNA (677 nucleotides) under uncultured archaeon. RNAcentral's name for it is "bacterial SSU rRNA". It matches the Rfam family "Archaeal small subunit ribosomal RNA", at positions 321 to 999 of the family's 1478-position model. The record is from RNAcentral.